AAGGUUUCCGUAGGUGAACCUGCGGAAGGAUCAUUGUUGGAUCGUAAGACUCGGACUGCGAACACGUGACGAGCUCGAGUCGGGGCGAGGAAUCCAGCAUUCACUCGCCCCGCCUCGCACCCGUGGACCCGUCGCUCGCGUUCCAGCGGCGACGGUUGCUGCGGAUCCUAACGAACCCCCGGCGCGGAUAGCGUCAAGGAGUACAUGUGCGAACUUGGGUGGGUGCACGGUCGCGCGUCCUCGCGCGGCUCGUGCGGUUCCGCCCCUUCCACGCAGCGAACUUUAUGACUCUCGGCAAUGGAUAUCUAGGCUCUCGCAUCGAUGAAGAACGUAGCGAAAUGCGAUACUUGGUGUGAAUUGCAGAAUCCCGUGAACCAUCGAGUCUUUGAACGCAAGUUGCGCCCGGAGCCGUCAGGCCGAGGGCACGUCUGCCUGGGCGACCAAUAGGCGAUCGCUCCCCCCCCACCCCGAAUGCGGUGGACCCGGGUGGUGGAAGCGGAAGCUGGCCAUCCGUGAGCUUAUAGGCAUCGCAAGAUCCUUCGCGGUUGGCUCAAUUCUCUCGACGAUGUCUUGCCUCUGGCGCAUCACGUCGCGCGGUGGAUCGCACUCGUUGCUUCACGCGCCGUGUCGUCUCGGCGAGACCUCCGUGGCCAUCUCGAAAGCUGAGUAUCCCCAGGUCAGGCGAGGCCACCCGCUGAGUUUAAGCAUAUCAAUAAGCGGAGGAGAAGAAACUUACGAGGAUUCCCUUAGUAA
This 753-nucleotide unclassified non-coding RNA is filed under the name Halophila nipponica. RNAcentral describes it as "partial contains ITS1, 5.8S rRNA and ITS2". The stretch from base 287 to 442 matches the Rfam family "5.8S ribosomal RNA". Lineage: Eukaryota; Viridiplantae; Streptophyta; Magnoliopsida; Alismatales; Hydrocharitaceae. The record is from RNAcentral.